ACGGAGCAACGCCGCGUGAGUGAUGAAGGUCUUCGGAUCGUAAAACUCUGUUAUUAGGGAAGAACAAACGUGUAAGUAACUGUGCACGUCUUGACGGUACCUAAUCAGAAAGCCACGGCUAACUACGUGCCAGCAGCCGCGGUAAUACGUAGGUGGCAAGCGUUAUCCGGAAUUAUUGGGCGUAAAGCGCGCGUAGGCGGUUUUUUAAGUCUGAUGUGAAAGCCCACGGCUCAACCGUGGAGGGUCAUUGGAAACUGGAAAACUUGAGUGCAGAAGAGGAAAGUGGAAUUCCAUGUGUAGCGGUGAAAUGCGCAGAGAUAUGGAGGAACACCAGUGGCGAAGGCGACUUUCUGGUCUGUAACUGACGCUGAUGUGCGAAAGCGUGGGGAUCAAACAGGAUUAGAUACCCUGGUAGUCCACGCCGUAAACGAUGAGUGCUAAGUGUUAGGGGGUUUCCGCCCCUUAGUGCUGCAGCUAACGCAUUAAGCACUCCGCCUGGGGAGUACGACCGCAAGGUUGAAACUCAAAGGAAAUUUG
Molecule: ribosomal RNA, 537 nt
Filed under: uncultured bacterium
Lineage: Bacteria
Description: bacterial SSU rRNA
Rfam family: Bacterial small subunit ribosomal RNA
Source: RNAcentral